RNAcentral lists this ribosomal RNA (253 nucleotides) under uncultured bacterium. RNAcentral describes it as "partial 16S ribosomal RNA". It matches the Rfam family "Bacterial small subunit ribosomal RNA", at positions 524 to 776 of the family's 1533-position model. The record is from RNAcentral.
UACGAAGGGGGCUAGCGUUGCUCGGAAUCACUGGGCGUAAAGCGCACGUAGGCGGAUUGCUAAGUCAGGGGUGAAAUCCUGGAGCUCAACUCCAGAACUGCCUUUGAUACUGGCAACCUUGAGUCCGGGAGAGGUGAGUGGAACUGCGAGUGUAGAGGUGAAAUGCGCAGAUAUCAGGAGGAACACCAAUGGCGAAGGCAGCUCGCUGGGACGGUACUGACGCUGAGACGCGAAAGCGUGGGGAGCGAACAGG